GGAAUCUUAGACAAUGGGGGAAACCCUGAUCUAGCCAUGCCGCGUGAGCGAUGAAGGCCUUAGGGUUGUAAAGCUCUUUCGCCUGGGAAGAUAAUGACGGUACCAGGUAAAGAAGCCCCGGCUAACUUCGUGCCAGCAGCCGCGGUAAUACGAAGGGGGCUAGCGUUGUUCGGAAUUACUGGGCGUAAAGCGCACGUAGGCGGAUAUUUAAGUCAGGGGUGAAAUCCCGGAGCUCAACUCCGGAACUGCCUCUGAUACUGGAUAUCUUGAGUUCGAGAGAGGUGAGUGGAAUUCCGAGUGUAGAGGUGAAAUUCGUAGAUAUUCGGAGGAACACCAGUGGCGAAGGCGGCUCACUGGCUCGAUACUGACGCUGAGGUGCGAAAGCGUGGGGAGCA
Molecule: ribosomal RNA, 395 nt
Filed under: uncultured bacterium
Lineage: Bacteria
Description: bacterial SSU rRNA
Rfam family: Bacterial small subunit ribosomal RNA
Source: RNAcentral